ACUCAAAUGAAUUGACGGGGGCCCGCACAAGCGGUGGAGCAUGUGGUUCAAUUCGACGCAACGCGAAGAACCUUACCUAGGCUUGAACCGCAGGUGACUGGUUUGGAAACAAGCCUUUCCGCAAGGACACCUGUAGAGGUGCUGCAUGGCUGUCGUCAGCUCGUGUCGUGAGAUGUUGGGUUAAGUCCCGCAACGAGCGCAACCCUUGCCCUUAGUUGCCAUCGGGUCAUGCCGGGCACUCUAAGGGGACUGCCCCGGAAAACGGGGAGGAAGGUGGGGAUGACGUCAAGUCAUCAUGGCCUUUAUGCCUAGGGCUACACACGUGCUACAAUGGACGGCACAAAGGGCUGCUAACCCGCGAGGGGGAGCCAAUCCCACAAAUCCGUCCUCAGUUCGGAUUGCAGUCUGCAACUCGACUGCAUGAAGUUGGAAUCGCUAGUAAUCGCGGAUCAGCACGCCGCGGUGAAUACGUUCCCGGGCCUUGUACACACCGCCCGU
This 498-nucleotide ribosomal RNA is filed under the name uncultured bacterium. RNAcentral's name for it is "partial 16S ribosomal RNA". It matches the Rfam family "Bacterial small subunit ribosomal RNA", at positions 899 to 1397 of the family's 1533-position model. The record is from RNAcentral.